CCUACGGGGGGCAGCAGUGGGGGAUAUUGCACAAUGGGGGAAACCCUGAUGCAGCGACGCCGCGUGUGGGAAAACGGUCCUCUGGAUUGUAAACCACUGUCCCUAGGGACGAAAAUGACGGUACCUGGGGAGGAAGCUCCGGCUAACUACGUGCCAGCAGCCGCGGUAAUACGUAGGGAGCGAGCGUUGUCCGGAAUUACUGGGUGUAAAGGGAGCGCAGGCGGGAAGCCAAGUCAGCUGUGAAAACUACGGGCUUAACUUGUAGACUGCAGUUGAAACUGGUUUUCUUGAGUGAAGUAGUGGGU
This 305-nucleotide ribosomal RNA is filed under the name uncultured bacterium. Its description in RNAcentral is "bacterial SSU rRNA". It matches the Rfam family "Bacterial small subunit ribosomal RNA", at positions 338 to 659 of the family's 1533-position model. The record is from RNAcentral.